GUACAAAUUAUCAGACCUAAAUUGAAACAAAGAAGCAAGAAGAGCCCUAGCAAACAAAUUAGCAGCGCGUUCGUAGAUCUUAAAAAAAUAAAAACAAAACAACAGUAGCAAAUCAAAGAGUGGAAUCAAACAAGUUAUACAGAAAUAAUUCAUGAAUGUUGCUGAAAUUAGAGAGAGUAAUCAAACACAAACGAUGAGAAUAGGAAGAUUAGGAAAAUGCACCUCCAGUUUUCGCACCGCGUGUG
Molecule: unclassified non-coding RNA, 245 nt
Filed under: Hevea brasiliensis (rubber tree)
Lineage: Eukaryota; Viridiplantae; Streptophyta; Magnoliopsida; Malpighiales; Euphorbiaceae
Source: RNAcentral